GACGACAAAGGCAAACCCGUCGUGAGGCGGGCGCGCAAAGCCACAGGUCUCGACGGCAUGUCUGACGGUCGAGACGGCUGGGUUACCGAAU
Molecule: non-coding RNA, 91 nt
Filed under: Gammaproteobacteria bacterium
Lineage: Bacteria; Pseudomonadati; Pseudomonadota; Gammaproteobacteria
Description: c-di-GMP sequence
Rfam family: c-di-GMP-I-GGC riboswitch aptamer
Source: RNAcentral